GUAGGUGGCAAGCGUUGUCCGGAAUUAUUGGGCAUAAAGCGCGCGCAGGCGGUUCUUUAAGUCUGAUGUGAAAGCCCACGGCUCAACCGUGGAGGGUCAUUGGAAACUGGAGAACUUGAGUACAGAAGAGGAAAGCGGAAUUCCACGUGUAGCGGUGAAAUGCGUAGAGAUGUGGAGGAACACCAGUGGCGAAGGCGGCUUUCUGGUCUGUAACUGACGCUGAGGCGCGAAAGCGUGGGGAGCAAACAGGAUUAGAUACCCUGGUAGUCCACGCCGUAAACGAUGAGUGCUAAGUGUUAGGGGGUUUCCGCCCCCCUUAGUGCUGCAGCUAACGCAUUAAGCACUCCGCCUGGGAGUACGGCCGCAAGGCUG
RNAcentral lists this ribosomal RNA (372 nucleotides) under uncultured organism. RNAcentral describes it as "partial 16S ribosomal RNA". It matches the Rfam family "Bacterial small subunit ribosomal RNA", at positions 527 to 896 of the family's 1533-position model. The record is from RNAcentral.